RNAcentral lists this ribosomal RNA (496 nucleotides) under uncultured bacterium. RNAcentral describes it as "partial 16S ribosomal RNA". It matches the Rfam family "Bacterial small subunit ribosomal RNA", at positions 29 to 507 of the family's 1533-position model. The record is from RNAcentral.
AUGAACGCUGGCGGCGUGCCUCAUACAUGCAAGUCGAGCGAACAGAUGAGGAGCUUGCUCCUCUGACGUUAGCGGCGGACGGGUGAGUAACACGUGGAUAACCUACCUAUAAGACUGGGAUAACUUCGGGAAACCGGAGCUAAUACCGGAUAAUAUAUUGAACCGCAUGGUUCAAUAGUGAAAGACGGUUUUGCUGUCACUUAUAGAUGGAUCCGCGCCGCAUUAGCUAGUUGGUAAGGUAACGGCUUACCAAGGCAACGAUGCGUAGCCGACCUGAGAGGGUGAUCGGCCACACUGGAACUGAGACACGGUCCAGACUCCUACGGGAGGCAGCAGUAGGGAAUCUCCCGCAAUGGGCGAAAGCCUGACGGAGCAACGCCGCGUGAGUGAUGAAGGUCUUCGGAUCGUAAAACUCUGUUAUUAGGGAAGAACAAAUGUGUAAGUAACUAUGCACGUCUUGACGGUACCUAAUCAGAAAGCCACGGCUAACUACGUG